GGUCCAUGACCAACAACAAAAAGGGUAGUCCUAUACAUGCCAUUUCAAAGUUCAACCAAAAGUGUACCAAAAAGGGGCUUUGAUAGUGUGGGAGACUUCGACUUCAAUAAUCCCGAGUCCGAUAGCUGACGAACCCAAAAUCUAUAAAACAGAGAAUCAAAGAAACGGAGUAAGCAUUUAAUGCUUAGUAAGUUUGAGCCAUGAAAUUAGACACUACCAAAGUAUAGCAAUCAUAUGGCUAAACGGAUAAUCUCAUAUGCACAAAUUCUCAAUAUCAUACUUACUUCACAUUACCAAUCCUUAUAUUCAUACACAAAAGAUCAACUUAGCCAAGGCCGGAAGCUCAUUAAUUUACUGAGCGAAUAUUAUUUAAACGGAAUCACCACCCUAAUGCAUAUACGAAACGUACCUCAUCGUUGGGUUUUACGAGCGUAUC
This 436-nucleotide long non-coding RNA is filed under the name Gossypium barbadense (sea-island cotton). Its description in RNAcentral is "long non-coding RNA (GBAR_LNC003090)". The record is from RNAcentral. Lineage: Eukaryota; Viridiplantae; Streptophyta; Magnoliopsida; Malvales; Malvaceae.